This 774-nucleotide ribosomal RNA is filed under the name uncultured Neocallimastigales. Its description in RNAcentral is "partial large subunit ribosomal RNA". It matches the Rfam family "Eukaryotic large subunit ribosomal RNA", at positions 24 to 636 of the family's 3401-position model. Lineage: Eukaryota; Fungi; Neocallimastigomycota; Neocallimastigomycetes; Neocallimastigales. The record is from RNAcentral.
UAUGUGAUCGUCUCUCGCAUAUCAAUAAGCGGAGGAAAAGAAACUAACAAGGAUUCCCCUGGUAACGGCGAGUGAAGCGGGAAGAGCUCAAAUUUGAAAUCUUAAAGGGUUUCCCUUUACGAAUUGUAGUUUAAAGAAGUGUUUUCUGUUGAGGUUUUGGUAAAAGUUCUUUGGAAUAGGACAUCAUAGAGGGUGAGAAUCCCGUAUUUGACCUUUACUUUCAACUUUGUGAUACACUUUCAAAGAGUCGGAUUGUUUGGGAAUGCAGUCCAAAAUGGGUGGUAAAUUUCAUCUAAAGCUAAAUAUUGGCGAGAGACCGAUAGCGAACAAGUACCGUGAGGGAAAGAUGAAAAGAACUUUGAAAAGAGAGUUAAACAGUACGUGAAAUUGUCAAAAGGGAAGCGUUUGACACCAGUGUUGUUUUUCUGAAAAUCAAUUAAAGAACUGUUUAUGCUAAGUUGUUUAGACUUUAUCAGCUAUCUGUUUAGUUUUGAGCUUUUCUUUAAUGCACUUUUCAGUUAACAAGUCAACAUCAAUUUCUUUUGCUGUAAAAAAGCUUGAGGAAGGUGGCUUGAGAUUCGUCUUAAGUGUUUAUAGCCUCUUGCCUAUGCAGUCGGAGAGAUUGAGGUCUGCAGCGUAGAUCCUUCGGGGCUAAAUGCAUUUGUGCUAAGUUAUAGCAUUUUAUAGACAACUUGUUGACUAUGAUUUGUCUUGUAGCUUACUCGCUUAUGUUAUUUUACCUACGCUUAGGAUGUUGAUAUGCAUGACUGAUAU